RNAcentral lists this transfer RNA (67 nucleotides) under Marmota monax (woodchuck). Its description in RNAcentral is "tRNA.Ala". Lineage: Eukaryota; Metazoa; Chordata; Mammalia; Rodentia; Sciuridae. The record is from RNAcentral.
GGAUUGUGGCUCAGCGGUAGAGCACUCGCCUAGCAGGGGUGAGACCUGGGUUCAAUCCUCAGCACCA